Molecule: signal recognition particle RNA, 148 nt
Filed under: Gorilla gorilla gorilla (western lowland gorilla)
Lineage: Eukaryota; Metazoa; Chordata; Mammalia; Primates; Hominidae
Description: Metazoan signal recognition particle RNA
Rfam family: Metazoan signal recognition particle RNA
About the family: The signal recognition particle (SRP) is a universally conserved ribonucleoprotein. It is involved in the co-translational targeting of proteins to membranes.
Source: Rfam by way of RNAcentral
GCUGGGCGUGGUGGCGCACGCCUGUAAUCCCAGCUACUCAGGAGGCUGAGGCAGGAGAAUCGCUUGAACCCGGGAGGCGGAGGUUGCAGUGAGCUGAGAUCGUGCCACUGCACUCCAGCCUGGGCAACAGAGCGAGAAUCAGUCUCAA